This 464-nucleotide ribosomal RNA is filed under the name uncultured bacterium. RNAcentral describes it as "partial 16S ribosomal RNA". It matches the Rfam family "Bacterial small subunit ribosomal RNA", at positions 339 to 795 of the family's 1533-position model. The record is from RNAcentral.
CUACGGGGGGCACCAGUGAGGAAUUUUGCGCAAUGGGGGAAACCCUGACGCAGCAACGCCGCGUGAGCGAAGAAGGCCCUCGGGUCGUAAAGCUCUGUCAAGUGGGAAAAAAAUCUUUUGAUCAAUAGCCAAAAGACUUGAUGGUACCACUGGAGGAAGCACCGGCUAACUCCGUGCCAGCAGCCGCGGUAAUACGGAGGGUGCAAGCGUUGUUCGGAUUUACUGGGCGUAAAGAGCGUGUAGGCGGUUUAGCAAGUCAGAUGUGAAAGCCCUGGGCUCAACCCGGGAAGUGCAUUUGAAACUGCUUCACUAGAGUAUGGGAGAGGAGAUUGGAAUUCCUGGUGUAGAGGUGAAAUUCGUAGAUAUCAGGAGGAACACCCGUGGCGAAGGCGAUUCUCUGGACCAAUACUGACGCUGAGACGCGAAAGCGUGGGGAGCAAACAGGAUUAGAUACCCUGGUAGUC